CGGGAGCAAAGAGCCGGUUGGAGUCGCUCACUGGAACCGGCCCUAGGACCUAGCUCGCCAAUGUUUAGAUGGGGCGGAGCUUGCAUCUGGGCGUGGACUAUAACCAUCCAAUAGGAGUGUGGUGCGAACCCAGAGGCGGGAAUCAGCCUCCAGCUGAGCUGACCAAUGAAGAUGGAAGGCGUAUUUGUAUUUUCUCCUGGAGCCGCCUCUCAGUCUAGCUUCAACCAAUGAGGCUAGCAGCAGGACGAAGGUGGAGCAGGUCGCUGCUGGAGGUACGAUGUCAGGGCGCUGAAGAAUCUUGCCAUUUGUACCUAACACUCUCUGGACCGGGCAGCUGAGGUGGAGUUCUGUGUAAUUCGUGAAAGAACCAGGGCUAUAAGAGCUGAGAAGCAAGAAACUUCAGGCAAAAAGGUGACAGAAAGAACACACAGACAAGCUGGUAAAGCUUACAAAUUAGUUUAACAUGAAAAACACCAGCAGAUCCAAUGGACACAAGGCACUCAGCCUGACUCUGUAUGGUGGACAGCAGAGAGAGCAUAGCCCUAGGGUCAGAGAAUUCAUCAGUUUCAUAUCACUGCCCCUGUCGGAGCCUUAGUUUACUCAUUUGACAAGCAAGAAUAAUAAAACCUAACUCACAAAA
This is a long non-coding RNA of Hyaena hyaena (striped hyena), 640 nucleotides long. RefSeq lists it as uncharacterized. The transcript is spliced from 3 exons. The record is from RefSeq and is a predicted model, not a curated record. Lineage: Eukaryota; Metazoa; Chordata; Mammalia; Carnivora; Hyaenidae.